Molecule: long non-coding RNA, 6539 nt
Organism: Mercenaria mercenaria
Lineage: Eukaryota; Metazoa; Mollusca; Bivalvia; Venerida; Veneridae
Exons: 7
Source: RefSeq, a predicted model, not a curated record
GUUGUGGCUUUGUGGAAACGAUCAAAACCAUAAGAUGACGCAAACAGAUCUUAGAUGGACGUGCUUUUAGAUUCGGAGUAUACUGGGUUGUGUCUAUAAGUGGCAAAUAUCAAGAACAUACAUACAGAUCAUGGACGAAGGUGUUGUCAGAUCUGGAGCAUAAAUGGGUUACCAUGGAAACGUACCUCUACAUCUAGGCAAUGGUUUGGAUGACGGACGUUCAUAUGUGUAAAGUUAGAUAAAGCAGAUUUUGGGGCAUAUUGGGGGUGUAUGUUUACUUUUCUUUUCUGUGUAGACAUUAUGAUUUGUUUCUUUAUAUCUUUACACAUGCCUUUCUGUAUCUAUACACUCAACAGGGUUUCCAUAGAAACAUAAGUAACAUCUAGGCAGCGGUAUAAUGGAAGAUCGACGUUCAGAUGUACAAAGUUAUACAACAGAUUUUGGAGCACAUAUAGUGUGUAUGUUUACUUUUUUGUAGCAAAACUAUUAUAUAUUUGUUUCUUGUUUUACACAUGCCUCUUUCUCUGUAUCUAUACACUCAACAGGGUUUCCAUGGAAAAGUACGUUCACAUCUAGGCAAUAGUGUAAUGAAUGAUCGCCGUUCAGAUGUACACAGUUAUACAACAGAUUUUGGACCAUUUAGGUAGUGUAUGUAUAUUUUUCCUUUUUUUUGUGUAAACAUUUUGAUAUGUUUCUUUCUGUCUUUAAACAUGACUUUCUGUAUCUGUACACACAACAGGGUUACCAUGGAAACGUACCGCUACAGCUAGGGAACGGUAUAAAGGAUGACCGACGUGCAGAUGAGCAAAGUUAUACAGCAGAUACUGGAGCAUAUUGGGUGUGUAUAUAUACUUUUUCUUCUUUUGUGGCAACACUUUGAUAUGUUUGUUUUUCGUGUUACAAUGCCUCUCUAUACACUCAACAGGGUUACCAUGGAAACGUACCUCUACAUCUAGGCAAUGAAAUAAAUGGAUGUCUGACGGUCACAGGUGCAAAGUUAUACAACAGAAUUUGGAGCAUAUAGGUAGUGUAUGUUUACUUUGUCCUUUCUUGCGCAUACAUUAUGAUUUGUUUCUUUCUCUCUUUACACAUGCCUCUCUGUAUCUAUAGAUAUAACAGGGUUACCAUGGAAGCUUACAUCUAAAUCCAGGCAAUGGUAUAAUUGGAUGACCGACGUUCAAGACUACAAACAGCAGUGAGAGAAAUAUUGCAACCGAUCACGUGGUAAACGGUUAACUUAGUCUAAAUCUAACUAAGACAUGUAAGCGAAUUCAGGUGAAAAUUGAAUUUAAAACAAAUGUCUAGAUAAUCGGUGCGCUUAUUGAUAACCCAGUAUAUGUAUGUUUUUGUUUCGUAACACCGUUCUGUCAUUGAUUUGUUUACAAUGGCUACUUGGUGGUGAUGCAGUGGUGGUGCGUUUGUGUCAGUGGUGGUGUUUGUGGCGGCGUUUUAGUGUUUGUGUUGGUGUUUUAAUGUUUGUGGUGGUGUUUUAGUGUUUGUUCCGGUGUUUUAGAGUUUGUGGUGGUGUUUGUGGUGGUGUUUUAGUGUUCAUGGCGGUGUUUUGGUGUUUGUAACGGUGUUUAUAUGUCUGUGGUGGUGUUUAUGACGGUGUUUUUUAGUGUUCGUGGCGGUGUUUUAGUGUUCGUGGUGGUGUUUUCAUUGUGGUCUUCGUGUUCUGUUUUGUCAAAAAAGUUUUUGUCUGUUGUUGCGAGUUGUUUGUAGCGUUGGGUUUUUGGUCUUUCUUUCCGUUACAAGGUGUUUUUCUUUCCACCAUUAGCAAUAUAUUAUUGCUUGAUUUAUUCCUGAAUAAUCUAAAUAUUGAGGCAUGUUUUAAAAUUUUUACUUGUCCCAUCAAUUUCAGAUUGCUUCAAAGACAUACCAUGAAAUACGUAGACGACAGACAUAACGUGCAGAUGGCAUCUGAGUAAACGCGCGCAAUUGUUCUGUUUUAUUUCAGCUUUUUGUUCUGUUUGUUUCGUAUUGCUGUUUUCUUCUACUAGAAUGUCGGGGUAUUUGGAGAAUAAAGACACAGACGGAUGUCGAAAUGCUGAUCAAACAAAAUGUGCGUUUCUUUUUACCGAGACAGGUACGUAUUACUACUUAUAUUAUCCUGUUUUAUAAGCAUUUCUCUACAGAUGUUUCCAGAAUGGUAGCUGAUGUUGACUACAAGCACGUGCGAAGAUAUAAUGUUGUAGAUAUCACAAUGGCUUAGUGGAUGGUGCAGCUAUGGAGCUUGAUAUUGACUACAAGCACGUUUACGGAAGUCAAGAGGUAGAAUUCACGGUGGUUAAACGAACAGUGCAGCUCUGGCUGAUGAUGCUGGCUAUACAAGCACGUGUAAGGCCGUCAUUUUGGAGAUUUCACAAUGGUUUAGUGGACAGUUCAGCUUUGCCUUUUCUCUGAGCAGAAUGAGAAAGAUCGGGGCGAUUUUCCUCCGGAGAAAUUCAAGAGCUUAUGAAUGCGCAUACAGUUUCUGGCUUCGAUGAAGUAAAACUCGAAGUAUUGGAUGAGAAAGUGAGAACUAUUCCAAGAGAAGCGACUUCUUGGACCAUACAUACACGAAGAAAAUUUUAGUUGAUGGAACUACAGUUACUAUAGGACUGCUUUGCUGGUACCAUGAAGAUACCGAUAACCAGAGGUGCCCUGACACCCUUUUGAGGGUGUACAUCAGAGAUAUAGUAAUAAGGUCGAAAAAGGCAAGAAGACAGUGUUUGAUAUUAUUGAAAGACAUAGAAAAAGAACAGAUUGCAGAAAAGAAAUAUCAUUUUGCCGCCGUGUGCUUGUUGUUUCCGACAGCUGACAGUCCGACGCAUAUCAGCUUGAUUUCAAACACACAAGUGAGAAAUAUCUGCAAAUGGACAAAUCCAGUAUGAUGAAUCCACGACAGACCUGGUACAAGCAUAAGAGCAUGACACCACCACAGCCGCCCUGAUACAAGCAUUGAAUAGACAAAAACUGACAUUGUAUAUAAUAAUACUCCCACGUACAAAGUAUAUGGGGCUAUAUAGGAGUCACACAUGUCUACCGGUCCGUUCGUCAGUUGUGUCCGCUGGGAAGAUUUUCAUAAAACUGGCAUCAAUUAAUAACUUCCUCAAGACUAUGUGCAGAGCGCACAAUCCAGGUGACAAGGUCCAUAGUCAAGGUCACUCUUGGAGGUCAAAAGUCAUACAGCUUACAUUUAGCGAUUACAAGUACUUGCCUUGGCGUCGACGUCAGUCACAGUUGCAUUUAAGUUAAACUUUUAUGGCAAGCUUCUCUGUGUCACUCUGUAUCUUCUUAAAUACUGUCCCUAUUAACAUCAGAACUCACAUAAGUGUUCGUCAUUGUAAUGGUCAGACAUCUAUUAGUGUAGGGUCAGGCAUCCUAAAGGUCAAGGUCACUAGGGUCAAAUAUUGCUACAGGGCUGUUAAAGUUCUAUAACAAGUUUAUGUCACAAUAUCUUAACUACUGUCCUAUAAUCAUCAAACCCAACAUAAGGAUUGGAUUUAGAAAUGGGCGAAACCCUUUGGUUUAAUGUCAGGUAGCUCAUAGGUCAAGGUCACUGGGUUUAGAUUUUGUUAAAGUAUUGGUACAAUUUUUAUUGCACACUUCUCAAUUGACUUAUAACUAUUGUUUCUUAAUACUGGGUAUCAUACCCAGCACUUUUAAGCCCUAUCCACACAUCCCCAAAAUAUAUUUCUUAAAGAAAGUUGUAUCUCAUAUUUCCGUCAUCUCCCCUACCCCCACCCUCUCCGGCUUCGCCUACCUCCCCUACCCUAUUUCACCACCUCUCUCCCUGACAAAAAUGAUUUAUUUUACAUUUUCUUUACACUUGAUUACACUGUACAUCUCGUGCCUCAUAUGUUAAAAUGAUGUUAAAGUGUUUAAGUGUCGCUUAUCACUUUUACCCUCAUUCCCACCCACUUUCAAAAUUUUAAGACAUUUUUCUACAUCUCUCACACAUUGUGUCUUAGAUUCCUUUACUUCCACGCAACUACCCCCUCCCCUCCCCCCACCCCCACGCCCCACCUCCUCCCCAGCCACCACCAACAUAAAAAUCUUUCACACGCUUGCAUUUAUGAUUUAUAAUAAUGAUAACAAUGAUAAUAAUAUCUUGGUAAACAUUUUCGAAUAGUCGAGCGGGCACAACUUAGAUCAAUAGAUCCAAGGUCAAGUUCACACUUGAAGGUCGAAAGUCAUGAUGACAACAUUUUACUACCCCUGUACCAAAGCGGCGUCUGGGGGUAUUAAUUGCCUUUAGUGAUAGCUCUAGUUGAUCUUGUUUAAGAGGCCUAAAUAUGUAACAUUUGCUUAUUUAAUAAUUGUAUCAAUUAUUUGAGAAGCUUUUGCUGAAUUUUAAGAUAAAUAUUUGGAGUUAAAAUGAGGAUUUUUUUAACAUUGAUACAGUCGGACUAUUUUUAGAUGCUAGGAAUAUUUCUAGUAUGGUUUAAUAUUGGUCAUGAAAUUAUGCACCUUUAUUUUUAUAGGAAUAUUUCUUUUUAAAACAAGUAUUUUCAUGAACACAAAAUGCGCAUUAAAUUUUGUCUUUAAUAAAUAAUGCCAGAGACAACAAAUAUAUAGAAAACUGAUUUGGUUAAUUAUUUCUAAGCGUCUCAAAAAUUUACUACUUUAUAUUAUUAAUUUCUUUCAAAAAUGAAUAUGCAUGAAUCAAUUUAUAAACAAAAAGCCACUUUCACAAAAUUUUAAUAAUAGAUUUCGGACAGAGAUUAGCUCUUGACAUUUGUUUGUUUCAGCGUAAGAUAGAAAUAUUGAAUAAUUUAAAUUGUAAACUCGUGUUCACGCGUGAAAAAUAAUUCGAUUUUAUAUACAAAUCAAAGAAAAUUUAUUUUAUGCUACUAAAUUGUACAAAUUUUACGAGUGUAACGUCACACGCAAUGUGCUACGUUACGCUUACUGUUAUGGCAAUAUAUAUAUUGGGGAAAAAAAGUAAUAUAGUUCUACGAGAUUGAUAUCUUUUACAUUUUAAUAUAGUUAUUUUCUAUUUUGUUUUUCGUUAAAAGUCUACGAGUUUAUAUGUUACUCAUAUUCUUUCGCGUUCAACUGAAGUUGCGUGCAAGUGAAAAUUGUACUUGGAUUUCCCACCUCUUAAACAGUGGGUCUAUCAAGGUAUAAUGGAUCGUUAUAUUUCAGUAAUACUCGGAAAGCUUGACACGAAAUUCCAUACUCUAGUAAUUACAUAAUGUACGGAUAAAAUCAGAGAUCUUGGUCGUCUAUAUAUAGCUUUUAAAGUCAUUUUGGCCUCAUUAUUUGUACACUGAAGUUUACACUGUUUGGCAUAACUCUUAACCGACACCUAAUUCUCAGCACUAACAUUAACCAUUGCAGCUGAAAUGACUUUUCAAGCAACUUUUUCUUUCAUAGGAAAAAAAGUUAAACUUGUUAUAAACUUUAGGCCGUUACAUCUUUAGGAAUGAUUGGUAAAAAAACGGGAUAAUCAAAUAUAGAAGUGUGGGCAAACUUUUAAGUUUUUAGUCUGCUCUUUCACUGGAGUAUAACAAUAGAUUAUAACAUGAUAAACUCAUUGAUUCAAACGGAGAGAAAUCCAAAUAUGAUUUUCACUAGUACGGAACUACACUUGAACGCGAAAGGAUAUGAACUGCAAGGACUAUAAAGGCGCUUCAAAAAGACAAUGAUGUAUAGUAAUGCUUACGAAAACACUUAAAUACGUACCGAACUAUUAAAAUGUAAAAGAUACAUUUCGUAGACCUGUCUAACUUUUUUCAAACACGAUCAUUGUGAUGUCGCGAACUAUAGCGUGACAUUACGCAUAGCACAUGGCCCCGUGCGGUUGAGUAAGAUAAGAUGAGAUAAAUCUAUAUUAAUUUGACUGGAGAUAAAUCAAUACGACGACUAAAAUAAUAAGUAAUACGAACGUGUAAUACUGAAUUAUCUUCCACUCUGGAACACCGGAUUCAAGUUUACUCGGUUAAAGAUAUUUAGAUCUUAUGCUGAAACAAGCACAUCCCCCCAUUUCUAUAUCUUUUAACGACUGUAGUAGAUAACAAGCAUCAAUGUUUUGAGGGGAAAAAACGGCUAAUACAUCAGUUGACAUAACUCAGGACAGAAGUCUAAAUAACUACUGUUAGAUCUUUUUGUUUUCUAAUCACAAGAACUUUUCACAUUAAAAAAUACGAUUUUGAAAUGAUAGUCAAAAUUCAAUUAUUUGAAUGACUGUUGUUAGAUAGUUUUGGGUUUAUUAUUCUAAGAAAAUCAGUGCAUUUUCAUAUUUGAAAUGUUUCCGAUCAUAUCUUACAGAUCUAUUAAUGAUAUACAUUUUAUAUUUUGUAUACCGUAAUCUGUAUUUUUUCCUGUUCACUGGUUAUUUUUAAGGACAUUCAGAAAUUUAAAUAUAAUCGUAAGCGUACCAUUUCUUCUCAAUGAGUUUUACUGUUUGAGGUGAGAGUAUAGUUCAGUUCAAUGAAUUUUUGCACAUGUAUUAUAUCUUAGAAAUAAUUUUCAGAACUUUUACACGUUAUUUAUUUUUUACAAUGUCAUUUGUGACUAUUUGUUCGUUGUACUGAUGCUUGAUAACUGAAUAA